CUUAGUGAUCCGGUGGUUCUGUAUGGAAGGGCCAUCGCUCAACGGAUAAAAGGUACUCCGGGGAUAACAGGCUGAUACCGCCCAAGAGUUCAUAUCGACGGCGGUGUUUGGCACCUCGAUGUCGGCUCAUCACAUCCUGGGGCUGUAGUCGGUCCCAAGGGUAUGGCUGUUCGCCAUUUAAAGUGGUACGCGAGCUGGGUUCAGAACGUCGUGAGACAGUUCGGUCCCUAUCUGUCGUGGGCGUUGGAGAUUUGAGAGGGGCUGCUCCUAGUACGAGAGGACCGGAGUGGACGAACCUCUGGUGUUCCGGUUGUCACGCCAGUGGCACUGCCGGGUAGCUAUGUUCGGAAGCGAUAACCGCUGAAAGCAUCUAAGCGGGAAGCGCGCCUCAAGAUGAGAUCUCCCGGGGCACAAGCCCCCUGAAGGAACCAUCAAGACCAGGUGGUUGAUAGGCAGGGUGUGUAAGCGCAGCAAUGCGUUGAGCUAACCUGUACUAAUGAUCCGUGUGGCUUGACCAUAUAACCUCA
This 527-nucleotide ribosomal RNA is filed under the name Lysobacteraceae bacterium. RNAcentral describes it as "Xanthomonadaceae bacterium partial 23S ribosomal RNA". It matches the Rfam family "Bacterial large subunit ribosomal RNA", at positions 2411 to 2925 of the family's 2925-position model. Lineage: Bacteria; Pseudomonadati; Pseudomonadota; Gammaproteobacteria; Lysobacterales; Lysobacteraceae. The record is from RNAcentral.